RNAcentral lists this unclassified non-coding RNA (336 nucleotides) under soil metagenome. Its description in RNAcentral is "partial contains 5.8S ribosomal RNA, internal transcribed spacer 2, and large subunit ribosomal RNA". The stretch from base 1 to 120 matches the Rfam family "5.8S ribosomal RNA", at positions 35 to 154 of the family's 154-position model. The record is from RNAcentral.
GAUGAAGAACGCAGCGAAAUGCGAUAAUUAAUGUGAAUUGCAGAAUUCAGUGAAUCAUCGAAUCUUUGAACGCACAUUGCGCCCGCCAGUAUUCUGGCGGGCAUGCCUGUUCGAGCGUCAUUUCAACCAUCAAGCCCCAGGCUUGUGUUGGGGACCUGCGGCUGCCGCAGGCCCUGAAAACCAGUGGCGGGCUCGCUGUCACACCGGGCGUAGUAGAUUUUAUCUCGCUCAGGGCGUGCUGCGGGUCCCGGCCGUUAAAAGCCUUUUUUUACCCAAGGUUGACCUCGGAUCAGGUAGGAAGACCCGCUGAACUUAAGCAUAUCAAUAAGCGGAGGA